This 611-nucleotide unclassified non-coding RNA is filed under the name Hevea brasiliensis (rubber tree). Lineage: Eukaryota; Viridiplantae; Streptophyta; Magnoliopsida; Malpighiales; Euphorbiaceae. The record is from RNAcentral.
GAAAUAUUGUCUCCAUUGUCAAAAUGUUGCUUAAUUCUGCGCUCCAGUACAUCUGGAAACAAGCCAACCUUCUUCAAUAUAUAAGUAUCUAUGUUUGAAAUUUUUGAUGCUCCAAAAUCACCCUUCUCAUAAAGUUUCUUUCCAGCACCAGCUGAAAUCCGGAACAAUUCAUCUACUUUUUCUUGAUUACCGUUUGCAUCUUCUUCCGCCAAAACCCUGUGAAUGUACUGAUCUACAUUCUUAGAUAAUAGCCACACACCAUACUUGCGCACUUCUACCAACGGCAUCUCCAUCCCAGAUGGGGCAGUUGGCCAUCGUAACAGUGCAGUUACAGAAUCUGAACUCCUUCUGGAAAGAGGAAUCACUAGAGGAACCAGCCCUUGCUUGGCACCAGGAGAAAUUAUUUCUUCACCUCUCACCUGAAGGAUUUUGAGAAGUUCAUUCAAAUGUUCCGGUGCUUGAGUUGCAGCUACAUCUUUGAUAAAUGAUACAUGGUCUGGAGAAGAAGAAGAGGAAUAGCAUCGGAAUGUUGGUCGGCAGCGGCUGAAUAAAAUGCCGGGAAAUGCGACGGCGCGUGGACAUCCAAAACCCACUCCACCACCCAACUUCAU